CCUUUGGAGUGCUAAAUCAAAAGAAAGUAGUUGCAAAAUGAAAAUCUGGCACGGCGAAGAAGGAA
Molecule: non-coding RNA, 65 nt
Filed under: unclassified sequences
Description: RAGATH-18 RNA
Rfam family: RAGATH-18 RNA
About the family: Actinobacteria, Firmicutes, Fusobacteria, Thermotogae (1 example).
Source: Rfam by way of RNAcentral